CCUACGGGAGGCAGCAGUGGGGAAUAUUGGGCAAUGGAGGCAACUCUGACCCAGCAAAGCCGCGUGAAUGAUGAAGGUCUUCGGAUUGUAAAGUUCUGUGAUGGGGGAUGAACACAAUGACGGUACCCCAAUAGCAAGCCACGGCUAACUACGUGCCAGCAGCCGCGGUAAUACGUAGGUGGCAAGCGUUAUCCGGAAUGACUGGGCGUAAAGGGUGCGUAGGUGGUUUAGUAAGUUGGCGGUGUAAUUCCGGGGCUCAACCUCGGCGCUACCGCCAAAACUAUUAGACUAGAGUGCAGGGGGGGUAAGUGGAAUUCCUAGUGUAGCGGUGGAAUGCGUAGAUAUUAGGAGGAACAUCAGGGGCGAAGGCGACUUACUGGACUGUAACUGACACUGAGGCACGAAAGCGUGGGGAGCAAACAUGAUUAGAUACCCUAGUAGUC
RNAcentral lists this ribosomal RNA (443 nucleotides) under uncultured bacterium. Its description in RNAcentral is "partial 16S ribosomal RNA". It matches the Rfam family "Bacterial small subunit ribosomal RNA", at positions 338 to 795 of the family's 1533-position model. The record is from RNAcentral.